This 354-nucleotide long non-coding RNA is filed under the name Locusta migratoria (migratory locust). Its description in RNAcentral is "partial Lnc54478". The record is from RNAcentral. Lineage: Eukaryota; Metazoa; Arthropoda; Insecta; Orthoptera; Acrididae.
GGUGACAUGGUGGGGAGCUUCCCGUUCACGCUAUCUCAUUUCGCCCCAUUCAGUGAUAAGUGUACGGUUCGUUUGCCCAUUUCCAUGCUGUUCAAUGCCCAGUGGACCCUGGGUGAGAGUGUAAACGUUUUACUUUGCUGCAGUACCGCAUUAUGACAUUUACCCCAGGCAUUGGUAAGUAUACGGUUCGUUUGCCCAUUUCCGUGCCGUUCAAUGCCCAGAGGACCCUGGGGAGGAGCGUAAANNGUAAAAAUUUUACUGUGAUUGAGUGAUAUACGUCCUUUUUGACACUUAUUUUCCAAGUCAAUCGCGCAAAUGUUUUGUAGAACGAUAUAACACGGCUGGCCGGUCACA